GCGGACGUGGCGGAAUUGGCAGACGCGCUAGAUUUAGGCUCUAGUGUUGAGAGACGUGAGUGUUCAAGUCACUUCGUCCGCACCA
RNAcentral lists this transfer RNA (85 nucleotides) under Paludihabitans sp. MB14-C6. RNAcentral's name for it is "Paludicola sp. MB14-C6 tRNA-Leu". It matches the Rfam family "tRNA". Rfam says of the family: Transfer RNA (tRNA) molecules are approximately 80 nucleotides in length. Their secondary structure includes four short double-helical elements and three loops (D, anti-codon, and T loops). Lineage: Bacteria; Bacillati; Bacillota; Clostridia; Eubacteriales; Oscillospiraceae. The record is from RNAcentral.